This 301-nucleotide ribosomal RNA is filed under the name uncultured bacterium. RNAcentral's name for it is "partial 16S ribosomal RNA". It matches the Rfam family "Bacterial small subunit ribosomal RNA", at positions 509 to 808 of the family's 1533-position model. The record is from RNAcentral.
CAGCAGCGCGGUAAUACGAAGGGGGCUAGCGUUGCUCGGAAUGACUGGGCGUAAAGGGCGCGUAGGCGGCGAUCAAAGUCAGGCGUGAAAUUCCUGGGCUCAACCUGGGGGCCGCGUUUGAUACUUGAUUGCUAGAGUGGGGAAGAGGGUCGUGGAAUUCCCAGUGUAGAGGUGAAAUUCGUAGAUAUUGGGAAGAACACCGGUGGCGAAGGCGGCGACCUGGUCCUUGACUGACGCUGAGGCGCGAAAGCGUGGGGAGCAAACAGGAUUAGAUACCCCAGUAGUCCCUGUCUCUUAUACA